UACGGAGGAUGCAAGCGUUAUCCGGAAUUAUUGAGCGUAAAGCGUCCGCAGGUGGCACUUCAAGUCUGCUGUCAAAGACCGGGGCUUAACCCUGGAAAGGCAGUGGAAACUGAAGCGCUAGAGUGUGGCAGGGGUAGAGGGAAUUCCCGGUGUAGCGGUGAAAUGCGUAGAGAUCGGGAAGAACAUCGGUGGCGAAAGCGCUCUACUGGGCCAUAACUGACACUCAGGGACGAAAGCUAGGGGAGCGAAUGGG
This 253-nucleotide ribosomal RNA is filed under the name uncultured bacterium. RNAcentral's name for it is "partial 16S ribosomal RNA". It matches the Rfam family "Bacterial small subunit ribosomal RNA", at positions 524 to 776 of the family's 1533-position model. The record is from RNAcentral.